AGAGUNNGCNCCGGGCUCAGAUUGAACGGGGGCCGCAGGCCUAACACACNCAAGUCGGGCGGUAGCACAGAGAGCUUGUUCUUGGGUGACGAGUGGCGGACGGGUGAGUAAUGUCUGGGGAUCUGCCCGAUAGAGGGGGAUAACCACUGGAAACGGUGGCUAAUACCGCAUAACGUCGCAAGACCAAAGAGGGGGACCUUCGGGCCUCUCACUAUCGGAUGAACCCAGAUGGGAUUAGCUAGUAGGCGGGGUAAUGGCCCACCUAGGCGACGAUCCCUAGCUGGUCUGAGAGGAUGACCAGCCACACUGGAACUGAGACACGGUCCAGACUCCUACGGGAGGCAGCAGUGGGGAAUAUUGCACAAUGGGCGCAAGCCUGAUGCAGCCAUGCCGCGUGUAUGAAGAAGGCCUUCGGGUUGUAAAGUACUUUCAGCGGGGAGGAAGGCGAUGNGGUUAAUAACCGCGUCGAUUGACGUUACCCGCAGAAGAAGCACCGGCUAACUCCGUGCCAGCAGCCGCGGUAAUACGGAGGGUGCAAGCGUUAAUCGGAAUUACUGGGCGUAAAGCGCACGCAGGCGGUCUGUUAAGUCAGAUGUGAAAUCCCCGGGCUUAACCUGGGAACUGCAUUUGAAACUGGCAGGCUUGAGUCUUGUAGAGGGGGGUAGAAUUCCAGGUGUAGCGGUGAAAUGCGUAGAGAUCUGGAGGAAUACCGGUGGCGAAGGCGGCCNCCNNGACGAAAGA
RNAcentral lists this ribosomal RNA (741 nucleotides) under Pantoea brenneri. RNAcentral describes it as "bacterial SSU rRNA". It matches the Rfam family "Bacterial small subunit ribosomal RNA", at positions 8 to 739 of the family's 1533-position model. Lineage: Bacteria; Pseudomonadati; Pseudomonadota; Gammaproteobacteria; Enterobacterales; Erwiniaceae. The record is from RNAcentral.